Molecule: transfer RNA, 84 nt
Filed under: Bacteroidota bacterium
Lineage: Bacteria; Pseudomonadati; Bacteroidota
Description: Bacteroidetes bacterium (aquatic metagenome) tRNA-Leu
Rfam family: tRNA
About the family: Transfer RNA (tRNA) molecules are approximately 80 nucleotides in length.
Source: RNAcentral
GCCGGCGUGGUGAAACUGGUAGACAUACUGUGUUCAGGGCGCAGCGCUCGCAAGGGCAUGAGAGUUCGAAUCUCUCCGCCGGCA